Molecule: ribosomal RNA, 456 nt
Filed under: uncultured eukaryote
Lineage: Eukaryota
Description: SSU rRNA
Rfam family: Eukaryotic small subunit ribosomal RNA
Source: RNAcentral
GUUAAAAAGCUCGUAGUUGGAUCUCAACAGCGUGGUGGCGGUCGGCAUGCUUGCCGUUACUGCUGUCUUGCGCUGUGCUUUUUGCUGGAGGGUGGCAGGUGCUCUUAAUCGGGAGUCUGUUGUCGCCAGCAGGUUUACUUUGAAAAAAUUAGAGUGCUCAAAGCAGGCUGUUACGCCUGAAUAUUCGUGCAUGGAAUAAUAGAAUAGGACGUCGAUCCUAUUUUGUUGGUUUUCGGGACUCGACGUAAUGAUUAAUAGGGACAGUCGGGGGCAUUUGUAUUCAAACGACAGAGGUGAAAUUCUUGGACCGUUUGAAGACAAACUACUGCGAAAGCAUUUGCCAAGAAUGUUUUCAUUAAUCAAGAACGAAAGUUAGAGGUUCGAAGGCGAUUAGAUACCGCCCUAGUUCUAACCAUAAACGAUGCCAGCUAGCGAUCUGCCGGCGUUUUCAUUGUA